GGGGGUUUGGUGAAGUGGUAUCACAAAUGUCUCCAAAACAUUUGUCAGGGGUUCGAUUCCCUUAACCCCCGCCA
This 74-nucleotide transfer RNA is filed under the name Candidatus Sungbacteria bacterium RIFCSPLOWO2_01_FULL_47_10. RNAcentral's name for it is "tRNA-Trp". It matches the Rfam family "tRNA". From Rfam's summary of the family: Transfer RNA (tRNA) molecules are approximately 80 nucleotides in length. Their secondary structure includes four short double-helical elements and three loops (D, anti-codon, and T loops). Lineage: Bacteria; Candidatus Sungiibacteriota. The record is from RNAcentral.